Molecule: long non-coding RNA, 341 nt
Organism: Mus musculus (house mouse)
Lineage: Eukaryota; Metazoa; Chordata; Mammalia; Rodentia; Muridae
Product: predicted gene, 46835
Exons: 3
Source: RefSeq, a predicted model, not a curated record
GGAGAAAGGGAGGCUGUAAAGAUGGUAUGCUACAAAUCUGUGCAUGGAAUUGAGAGAAUGGAUUUGGAGGAGAGGACAGAGCAGUGAAGAACUACAGUUAGCCUACCUACUUCCCUUGUUGGAGUGUCAAUUGGUGCAUGCAUCCCAAGGACACCGAGUCACGUGCAGCAAAGAGACUGUGGCUUUCUGCUCCCAGAUUUUUUUGCUCACACUUUGAAGAAUUAUGGAAAAACAAUCAAAUACUAACAUAUGGAUUCUGGGCACUGUUCUGGGCUCAGCCUGACGUGACAGAUCCUGGGCAAGUUGUUCCUCUUGGCACUUUUUUCAGUGUAUUUAAGACU